RNAcentral lists this ribosomal RNA (253 nucleotides) under uncultured bacterium. Its description in RNAcentral is "partial 16S ribosomal RNA". It matches the Rfam family "Bacterial small subunit ribosomal RNA", at positions 524 to 776 of the family's 1533-position model. The record is from RNAcentral.
UACGUAGGGGGCAAGCGUUGUCCGGAUUCAUUGGGCGUAAAGAGCGUGUAGGCGGCCAGGUAGGUCGGUUGUGAAAACUGGAGGCUCAACCUUCAGAGGUCGACCGAAACCAUCUGGCUAGAGUCCGGGAGAGGAGAGUGGAAUUCCUGGUGUAGCGGUGAAAUGCGCAGAUAUCAGGAAGAACACCCGUGGCGAAAGCGGCUCUCUGGAACGGUACUGACGCUGAGACGCGAAAGCGUGGGGAGCAGACAGG